Molecule: non-coding RNA, 1090 nt
Organism: Taeniopygia guttata (zebra finch)
Lineage: Eukaryota; Metazoa; Chordata; Aves; Passeriformes; Estrildidae
Source: RefSeq, a predicted model, not a curated record
CUGAGCUCUGCCUGGAUCCUUCCCUUCUCCAGGGGAACAUUCCCGGGGCUCUGAGCUCUGCCUGGAUCCUUCCCUUCUCCAGGGGAACAUUCCCAGGGCUCUCCCAGCCUGGCUCCCGCCCUGGGAGCAUCACAGAGGAAUGAAAUGCAAUUUCUGAGAAAAUAUUUGUAUGCUCAUUGCUAAAUGGCAGCGAUAGAAACUUUCCAUGGCCUGGAAAAUCUCCUUGGUGGUGUUAAUGCCAUCCUUGUCUAUUUAAAACCACAUGAAAAAUAGCUGUGGCUGAAAGUGGCUGAGUCCAUUUUUGAGAUGUAUGAAAAUUCCUUGCAAUACAUUGCUGCUACUUUUAGUUCACUUUUUGCUGGGGUCCUGCCAAGGCUCUCUCAGGCCAGCAGGAGCUCCAGCCUGUCCUGCUGCAGAGGACACAAGUCCUGCUGUCCCUGUGGUGCUGCAGAUCCCAGCCUUGGGAGAUGUCACAGCAGCCUCUGGUGGCCGUAGGAGCUGGCACUGGGAGAGGAAAUCUGUGCAAAUGGAGGCACUUUGGUGCAAGUUUUUGUAGGAACUGAGAUGUCAGCACUUCAGGGGACAGCUGUCAGUGGAAAUCAGGCCAGGCUGAGGAGCGGUGAGAGAAUAAUUUCAGAUUUGUUGGCAAUUAGCAUCUUCUCCAAGUGUGUCUAAUCUCAGAGCAGACUGAAAAUUUUGGAAGAAGUGUCAUUUUUUAAAAUAUUUUUGGGAGAAGCAGCAGCAUAUGUUCCUUUCCCCUUGGCAGUGCUGGGAAAAAAGGGGAAGCAGAUGAAGUUGAGCUGUGAUACUGCUCAGGGAGAACCUGCACAGCUCCUCAGUGGAAUCUCCUGAGCUGGAAGGGACCCACAGGAUCAUGGAUCCAGCUCCUGGCCCUGCACACACACCCCAAAAUCCCACUCUGGGCACUCCUGGAGCAGUGUCCAAAUGCUCCUGGAGCUCUGGCAGCUUUGGGAAUGUGCCCAUUCCCUGGGGAGCCUGGGCAGUGCCAGCACCCUCUGGGGGAAGAGCCUUUCCCUGAUCUCCAGCCUAAUACCUGGAUGUGAUAUUCCUUCACACAAAUGUGAAAUAU